RNAcentral lists this ribosomal RNA (253 nucleotides) under uncultured bacterium. RNAcentral describes it as "partial 16S ribosomal RNA". It matches the Rfam family "Bacterial small subunit ribosomal RNA", at positions 524 to 776 of the family's 1533-position model. The record is from RNAcentral.
UACGGAGGGUGCAAGCGUUAUCCGGAUUCACUGGGCGUAAAGGGCUCGUAGGUGGCCAACUAAGUCAGACGUGAAAUCCCUCAGCUUAACUGGGGAACUGCGCCUGAUACUGGAUGGCUUGAGUUUGGGAGAGGGAUGCGGAAUUCCAGGUGUAGCGGUGAAAUGCGUAGAUAUCUGGAGGAACACCGGUGGCGAAGGCGGCAUCCUGGACCAACACUGACACUGAGGAGCGAAAGCCAGGGGAGCAAACGGG